RNAcentral lists this ribosomal RNA (440 nucleotides) under uncultured bacterium. RNAcentral describes it as "partial 16S ribosomal RNA". It matches the Rfam family "Bacterial small subunit ribosomal RNA", at positions 339 to 795 of the family's 1533-position model. The record is from RNAcentral.
CUACGGGCGGCUCCAGUGAGGAAUAUUGCACAAUGGGGGGAACCCUGAUGCAGCAACGCCGCGUGGAGGAUGACGCAUUUCGGUGUGUAAACUCCUUUUAUAUGUCAAGAAAAUGACGGUAGCAUAUGAAUAAGCGCCGGCUAACUCCGUGCCAGCAGCCGCGGUAAUACGGGAGGGCGCAAGCGUUACUCGGAAUCACUGGGCGUAAAGGACGCGUAGGCGGGUUGAAAAGUCAGGUGUGAAAGCCUACAGCUUAACUGUAGAACUGCACUUGAAACUCUCAACCUAGAGUAUGGGAGGGGCAGAUGGAAUUAGUGGUGUAGGGGUAAAAUCUGUAGAUAUCACUAGGAAUACCUAAAGCGAAGGCGAUCUGCUGGAACAUUACUGACGCUAAGGCGUGAAAGCGUGGGGAGCAAACAGGAUUAGAUACCCCAGUAGUC